CAGAGUCUUGCUGUGUUGCCCAGGCCAGAGUGCAAUGGCAUGAUCUCAGCUAACUGCAACCUCCACUUCCUGAGUUCAAGUGAUUCUCGUGCCUCAGCCUCCUGAGAAGCUGAGAUUACAGACGCAUGUAACAUUUGGUGCUGAAACCCAAGACAGGGGACUCCUUCAGAAGACCAGCCCCCUGUCCUCACCCUCAGUCCGGGAGGAGAUCCACCUACGACCUCGGGUCCUCAGACCAGCCCAAGGAACAUCUCACCAAUUUCAAAUUGGGACCCCACUGGAAGUCGGACCAUCCAACUUGGAUUACAGCUGCUCCUAGACCUACUGGAGCAAAAAGCUAAGGCUCCUGGCUGAUUCCUUCCCAGAUCUCCUCGGCUUAGUGGCUAAAGACUGACGCUGCCAAAUCAUCUCGGAAGCCCCCUGGACCAUCACGGAUGCCGAGCUUCGGAUAACUCCUACAGUGGAGGUGAGACCACACUUCUGGAAAGAACUACACUCUAUUUGAUGUUCCACCAAGACAUUUAACCAGCGACGUGUUGCACAGUUGACUUCACUGAGGCUCUGAGCCUUUCUUGUCAUUAGGACAACCCUGAGGGGACACCCUGCUACUUACUUGUGAUGCAGUCACAGGAAAUUAUUCAAAUGAGAAUUUAAAUAAGAUGGAUUUGCAGCUUCAUAGUGAUUUGUGUCAACUAAAAAAAGGAAGUAGUUUUAUAAUGAAAUGUUUACAAUAACACACAUGAAGUUUACAGUUUUAUGUACAUACUUAGUUUUACCAUUAAUGCAGAAGUUAAAUAUAUCUAGAAAUAAUUGCUGAAUAUUACAUAUGUACACACACACAUAUAUUUUGUAUGCGUGUGUAUCUAUCUAUCUAAAUGAUUGGUAGGCAAGAAGCAGUUAGUAAUUAAUUUUUUCACACCUGUGGGCAAUCUUACCUACUAAGUUACCCUUAAUAUUUUCACAAUUUAGUAGUAUAUAAACAAGAUGCAUAUAUUUAAGAGUUGUCAGGCGUAUGGUCAGAAAAUUAGCUACUCAGGUCACAAAUCACUCAGAAUGACUCUGAGAUUUCUUGUUAUUCGUGAUUCCCAUGAUUUGACAUAUACUAACUGAAAAUACUCAGUUCAUCUCACAGCCAGAUAUACCUCAGUUGUAUUAAAGAAUGUAAAGAACUAUGUUGAUUCUGAAACAGUAGUGAAAACUUUCAGCCCUGGUGCCAUUGAAAAAAAUGUUUUACUCAGAUUAUUCUCAGUUCUUUACAAACAUAAUAGUUACAGUUGCUAACUUUUUUUCUGACACACAAGAGAAAUAUACUCCAUCCCAUCAGCAAUAGUGACUCAUUUUUCAGUAAUUUUUAAUUGAGUCUCUACCUCCCUAGGGAAUGCAAAUCAGAAGGAAAGGCCCCACGCUGUGCAUUUAACCCAAACCUCCCCUGCCUGUGCUGACAGCAUAGAAGGCUGAUCUUAGGGACUGGAAGAGCCAGGAAAGCCCUUUUAGCCACCUUUUCUCUCCCACCUCAUCUCCAGGCCUACAGCUACAAGACAACAGACUGAUUUGCUUCACAUUAAAAUAAAGAUCUCUAAUGGGUUCAGUGUAUGUUAUUCAAGUGAUAGAUAUCCUAAAAGGCUUGACUUGACUGCUACUCAAUCUAUGCAUGUGACAAAGUUGCACCAUAAUUUUAUACAAAUUUAAUAAAACAAAAUAAAGAUUUCUCUGAGA
RNAcentral lists this long non-coding RNA (1716 nucleotides) under Homo sapiens (human). Its description in RNAcentral is "HSALNT0127032". The record is from RNAcentral. Lineage: Eukaryota; Metazoa; Chordata; Mammalia; Primates; Hominidae.